CACACAUUGACAGACAUACACACACUGACAGAAAUACAGGUCAAAAUAUACACUUGCAUACGCACCCUCCAGUUUCCUACUUAUUGGGUGCUAGAGGGUGGUUUCCCUUGUGUCCGGUGUGCAGGCUGAAGAUGUUAGGAGUUAGGGGAUGACUCUUGCAAUCUGCACCACAUCAACUCCUGCCUUCUACUCUCUGCUCCCUCUGUGCAGUUCCAGUCUUUCCUGGCCUGUGGCCCGUGGGCCGUAUAUUGUGCAGGUCUUAUG
Non-coding RNA from Pelobates cultripes (western spadefoot toad), 264 nucleotides. The record is from the annotation of a GenBank genome assembly. Lineage: Eukaryota; Metazoa; Chordata; Amphibia; Anura; Pelobatidae.